GGCUUGAGUCAGAGCACCAUUCUUGGGGACCCUGGAACGCUAUCAUGGAAACGGAGAGUGAGCAGAACUCGAGUUCGACCAAUGGGAGUUCCAGCUCAGGGGCCAGCUCUCGGCCCCAGAUAGCACAAAUGUCCCUGUAUGAGCGGCAGGCAGUGCAGGCUCUGCAAGCCCUGCAGCGGCAGCCUAAUGCAGCUCAGUACUUCCACCAGUUCAUGCUCCAGCAGCAGCUCACAGGCGCCUGGGGGUUUGGGUCAGCUGCCUUCUUCAGGACUAGCUGGUGGAAACUGUCCCCGGAAGGGUACAGGAGUGGUGCAGCCCUUACCUGCGGCUCAAACAGUGACUGUGAGCCAGGGAAGCCAAACAGAGGCAGAGAGUGCAGCGGCCAAGAAGGCAGAAGGAGAUGGGAGUAGCCAGCAGAGUGUGGGCAUGAACCUGACUCGGACAGCCACACCUGCCCCCAGCCAGACGCUUAUUAGCUCAGCCACAUACACACAGAUCCAGCCCCAUUCCCUGAUUCAGCAACAGCAGCAGAUCCACCUCCAGCAGAAGCAAGUGGUGAUCCAGCAGCAGAUUGCCAUCCACC
Molecule: long non-coding RNA, 583 nt
Filed under: Rattus norvegicus (Norway rat)
Lineage: Eukaryota; Metazoa; Chordata; Mammalia; Rodentia; Muridae
Description: long non-coding RNA NONRATT021816
Source: RNAcentral